RNAcentral lists this unclassified non-coding RNA (1140 nucleotides) under Hevea brasiliensis (rubber tree). Lineage: Eukaryota; Viridiplantae; Streptophyta; Magnoliopsida; Malpighiales; Euphorbiaceae. The record is from RNAcentral.
GGAAAAUUGUAUUGUACAUAAUACGUAAGUUUCCUCAUCUUUUGAGUUUUGCACAAUAUUCUCUUCUUCUGCUUCCUAAUUUCAUAGUUCACGAUUUUUUCUUGGGGUUAUUUACUUAUAGUCAUUAUUGAUAUUGUCGUUUAUAUGCAUAGUGAUACUAGUCUCUUAUACUAUUCGGGCUUGAGUUCUAAGUUCACAAUCAUUUUUAUGAUUUUUUGUUUGUAACGGAAUGAGUAGUGAUGCAUCUACUUUUCCUUUUCGCUUGUUUUUGUGCUUGAUAGGGUUCAGUAAGGUCAUAUUUUGGUGGUUAAAAUUAAUAAUGGCAAAAAUUUGGGGUGCAUUUGACUAGGCCAUCAUAAAAUUGGCAAUGCCUCAAAUAACUUUAACGGGAAAGUGCGAAAAAGCAUCAUGUGAUCUCAUACAUUUAUUAGUUGGGGCUUGAGGUUUUUUUUUUUUUUUUGACACUUUAGUGCUCUGUGUUAAUGCGCCGUUAGCACUUAGGUGACCAAUAGAAUAGCGCCAUUUAGAAAGCAGAUGUGGCAUUUAAAAAAAUUUUCUCCAACAUGUCAGUAGGUGGUUCCCACUCAAUAAAAAUUGAAAAUUUAAUAUAAAUCUUUCCCUAAUUGGAAUCCCUAGAAUCUUGAAUCCCCAAACCCCAAAAUUCAAUACAUUUCCUAAAUAAAAAAUACAAAUCUACCAUAAAUCACAAGCAAUAAAUUCCCAUUGAAACAAAAUCCAUAAUGACAAAUUAAUCAAUAAAUCACAGAUAACAAAAACCCAAUUGAAACAAAACCCACAAUGACAAAUCCAUCAGUAAAUCACAACUAACAUACACCUAAUUGAAGCAAGGAAGGUUGUUGAAGACCAACUUAAUUCACUGUAUACGGUAAGAGCAAAUGGCUAAUUCAUGACAACAUCAAAGGGGGAGGUGACAGCUUGUCACGACAGCAGCAAAGGGGCAGCAACUGGCUUGUGACAGUAGCUGAAAGGUAGGGCUCAUUACCAGCAAGGAGACAAUGAAGGGGGUUACUGACACAUGAGAAAAAAAAAUUUUUUAUAUGCCACAUCAGCUUUCCAAAUGACAUUACUCCAUUUGUCUCCUAAGUGCUAGUGGUUUAUUAACACAGGUAUCAAAGUGUC